UUCUAAGAAUUACUAAUCAAAAUCCGUAUCCACAUAAACUAAUAAUAUCCACAUUUUCACUAAAAACAAAAAAUGAGAUAAUAAUCUUGUGAUCUUCAAAGGUCUUCAAUCUCAUAGCUAGUCAUCCGAAACCAUUCGAUCCGCAAGCUAAAUACCACCCAUAGUUCUUUUAUCUGCAAUUUGAAAAUGCACAUUGAUUAUUUCCAACAUGCAUGUGUUUUGAGUAUUUCAAUAUUAUCUAGAAGAAGAAUAAAAAAUAAAUAUAGACUUGAGAGAAGAUAAAUUUUGAAUUAUAAUACUUGAGAGAAAAUAUAUAAGUUCCAUGUGGAACACAUUAUCUACACAUUUUAUAAAUAGCAUAUAUUAUAUAAAUAAAAAGUCUUACCAGGAAGAUUCACCAAUGAAGAACGAUUGAAAAGCUGGAUUACUAGCUAAAUCUGCUAGAAAUGCCUCUGUUUUAGCCUGUCGAGCAUUCAGCAUCUGAAGUUGUGUAGAGAGCUGCUUCUCGGUUUCUUCUGCGUUUCGCUUAUACUCUUCAAAAGCUAUAUUAUUGGAAUUGUAUGCUACAGAUUGUGAUGUUG
This 581-nucleotide long non-coding RNA is filed under the name Aquilegia coerulea. RNAcentral's name for it is "long non-coding RNA (ACOE_LNC000424)". Lineage: Eukaryota; Viridiplantae; Streptophyta; Magnoliopsida; Ranunculales; Ranunculaceae. The record is from RNAcentral.